RNAcentral lists this transfer RNA (92 nucleotides) under Anaerolineae bacterium. Its description in RNAcentral is "tRNA-Ser". It matches the Rfam family "tRNA". From Rfam's summary of the family: Transfer RNA (tRNA) molecules are approximately 80 nucleotides in length. Their secondary structure includes four short double-helical elements and three loops (D, anti-codon, and T loops). The record is from RNAcentral. Lineage: Bacteria; Bacillati; Chloroflexota; Anaerolineae.
GGAGAGAUGCCAGAGUGGUUGAAUGGGACGGUCUCGAAAACCGUUGUGGGCCUCGUUGUCCACCGUGGGUUCGAAUCCCACUCUCUCCGCCU